This 404-nucleotide ribosomal RNA is filed under the name Pseudomonas sp. Its description in RNAcentral is "partial 16S ribosomal RNA". It matches the Rfam family "Bacterial small subunit ribosomal RNA", at positions 355 to 776 of the family's 1533-position model. The record is from RNAcentral. Lineage: Bacteria; Pseudomonadati; Pseudomonadota; Gammaproteobacteria; Pseudomonadales; Pseudomonadaceae. RNAcentral also lists the same sequence under 3 other names.
UGGGGAAUAUUGGACAAUGGGCGCAAGCCUGAUCCAGCCAUGCCGCGUGAGUGAUGAAGGCCCUAGGGUUGUAAAGCUCUUUCACCGGUGAAGAUAAUGACGGUAACCGGAGAAGAAGCCCCGGCUAACUUCGUGCCAGCAGCCGCGGUAAUACGAAGGGGGCUAGCGUUGUUCGGAUUUACUGGGCGUAAAGCGCACGUAGGCGGACUUUUAAGUCAGGGGUGAAAUCCCGGGGCUCAACCCCGGAACUGCCUUUGAUACUGGAAGUCUUGAGUAUGGUAGAGGUGAGUGGAAUUCCGAGUGUAGUGGUGAAAUUCGUAGAUAUUCGGAGGAACACCAGUGGCGAAGGCGGCUCACUGGACCAUUACUGACGCUGAGGUGCGAAAGCGUGGGGAGCAAACAGG